RNAcentral lists this transfer RNA (62 nucleotides) under Serratella sp. Yunnan-2018. RNAcentral describes it as "tRNA-Gly". It matches the Rfam family "tRNA". Rfam says of the family: Transfer RNA (tRNA) molecules are approximately 80 nucleotides in length. Their secondary structure includes four short double-helical elements and three loops (D, anti-codon, and T loops). The record is from RNAcentral. Lineage: Eukaryota; Metazoa; Arthropoda; Insecta; Ephemeroptera; Ephemerellidae.
AUUUAUUUAGUAUAAAAGUAUAUUUGACUUCCAAUCAAAAGGUCUGGAUUCCAGAAUAAGUA